GGCUCAGACGAAACGCGGGCGGCGUGGCUAAGACAUGCAAGUCGCACGGACCACAGUAGCAAUAUUGUGGUUAGUGGCGGAAGGGUGAGUAAUGCAUGGGUAACGUACCUUGGACUCAGGGAUAACGGCGGGCGCAAGCCCUUUAGCGAAAGUGCCGCUAAUACCUGAUGAAAUCACGGGAGUGCAUGCUUCGGUGAUCAAAGCUGGGGACCCGCAAGGGCCUGGCGGUCUUUGAGCGGCCCAUGUCCUAUCAGCUAGUUGGUGAGGUAAUGGCUCACCAAGGCAACGACGGGUAGCCGGACUGAGAGGUCGGCCGGCCACAUCGGGACUGAGACACUGCCCGGACACCUACGGGUGGCUGCAGUAACGAAUAUUGGGCAAUGGGCGCAAGCCUGACCCAGCGACGCCGCGUGCAGGAGGAAGUCCUUCGGGAUGUGAACUGCUGUCAGGGGCUAGCAAGCGACCGGAGCGAAUAACUCUGGAAGUUGAGCCGCCCCAGAGGAAGCCUCGACUAACUCUGUGCCAGCAGUCGCGGUAAGACAGAGGAGGCAAGCGUUGUUCGGAAUCACUGGGCUUAAAGCGCGUGUAGGCGGCUCGGUAAGUGUCGUGUGAAAUCCCAGGGCUCAACUCUGGAACUGCACGGCAAACUCCCGGGCUUGAGGCCGGUAGAGGUGCCUGGAACUCUCGGUGGAGCGGUGAAAUGCGUAGAUAUCGAGAGGAACGCCGGAGGCGAAAGCGGGGCACUGGGCCGGUUCUGACGCUGAGACGCGAAAGCGUGGGGAGCAAACAGGAUUAGAUACCCUGGUAGUCCACGCCGUAAACGAUGCACACUGGACGUCGGACCCUCUGACGGGACCGGCGUCGUAGCAAAAGUGCUAAGUGUGCCGCCUGGGGAGUACGGCCG
RNAcentral lists this ribosomal RNA (904 nucleotides) under uncultured bacterium. Its description in RNAcentral is "bacterial SSU rRNA". It matches the Rfam family "Bacterial small subunit ribosomal RNA", at positions 21 to 888 of the family's 1533-position model. The record is from RNAcentral.